AUUGGAUAAAAGAAUUCUUACGUCGACUGUUCUAUUUUCCAUUUUCAUUUUGAAAGUCAAUUAGGUAAAUGGAAAGAUCAAUAGAAGCUAAAAUUAAGCUAGUAAAAUAAACCAUUGAAAUAAAAUAACCGUCACUUGCUUUAACAACCCCUGCAAUGAAAUUUAUCUACUAAACUUACCCUAUGUCGCCCAAACCCUAAAUUGAAAAAAACAAUUAGAACUAGGUAUAUGAAUUUUGCUGCCAAAAUAUUAAAUUAUAUAAUUUAUCAAACCGACCGUGAAAAAAUAAAUUUUAGUGCGCCCAUGACAUGCCAAGCUCAAACAGCAAUGCUCAAUGACAUCUGAAUUUGACAAGUCAGUUAAAUUCAGAUGUCAAUGUCAACCCAAUAAAACAAUAAUAUAAUUCACCUUGAGAAAUUAUUAUUAUUUUUUAACUAAUAUUUAUUGGAAAACUUCAACACAAAUUAUUUGCUAAAUAAAACUGAUGAAAAUCUCAUAACUUCAUUCAAGUUCGCAUAUAUUUUGCCUGUGUGGUCUUUGUUUUGUGUACCUAGAAUUAUUACAAGGAGAAGAAUUGCAUGUUUUAACUGCUGAUUAGACUACACAACCAGAAAUAAAUAAGCUAAAUGAAGUAUGUUAGGAUACCCCAGAGAUCAUGAAAUGUGUUUGAUAGGGCUCAGACCAUGCACUUAAGGACAUCCGUCAAGAAAUCAUUGAGAUUCUACCAUAUUAAUGAAAUUGGGAAACCAGGAAGAACUGCCUGUCUUUACUGUUGGUUAGAGAACGCAGCCAGAAAUAAAUAAGCUACAGGAAGUAUGUUAGGAUUCCCCAGAGAUCAUGAAAUGUGUUUGAAGGGAUAUGAAUCAGCUUUUUUGUUAUCUUGAAUAGGCAAAAUGGCACGAGAAUCUUCCAACUGGACCCAAAGUCUCUAUUUUUGGUUAGAAAAUAAAACUUAUUUAAUGUUUAUGUUCCAUGACCUGUUUAUUGUUUUAUUAAAUUUUGUCAUACAGUUAUUUAGUUUUAA
RNAcentral lists this long non-coding RNA (1024 nucleotides) under Anthonomus grandis grandis. Its description in RNAcentral is "uncharacterized LOC126743530". Lineage: Eukaryota; Metazoa; Arthropoda; Insecta; Coleoptera; Curculionidae. The record is from RNAcentral.